AAAAUUAAAACUUGAAGGGCUCACGGAAUCAGCAGCGGUCGAUGCAACGACGCUUGAGAAAUCGAAGAUGAUGCGAACUUGCCGGCCUUCCUCACUCGGGCGCGGGUGUCGUUCCUACUACUGUCGGCCGCUUGCUGAUUGUUGCCUUGCUCGGAGCCUGGGACCGUGGAUCCCUUGUCCUAAGGGAAAGGGAAGGAGAACUGGAGAAGGGAAGCUUGGGUUGGAUCGCUAUUAUUUUCCUGGACAAGGGGUACUUCGAUUCAAUCUGCAAUUGCUGGAAUUUCCUACUGGAUGCCGUUGCCGUUGCGUCAAGGAGUCCAGGUUCCGCACAAGGGAGAUCGAACGAUCGUUUUAACUGAACG
This 362-nucleotide long non-coding RNA is filed under the name Hordeum vulgare. RNAcentral's name for it is "long non-coding RNA (HVUL_LNC017727)". Lineage: Eukaryota; Viridiplantae; Streptophyta; Magnoliopsida; Poales; Poaceae. The record is from RNAcentral.